Cavia aperea (Brazilian guinea pig) is the source of this 101-nucleotide small nuclear RNA. NCBI's taxonomy places the organism in Eukaryota, Metazoa, Chordata, Mammalia, Rodentia, Caviidae. The record is from Ensembl.
GGCUUUGGCAACCCUAUCCUAAAAUGGGAAUGAUACAGAGAAGUUUAGCAUCAUUCCUGUACAAGGAUGAUACGCAUAUUUGUGAAGCAUUCCAUAUUUUU